ACUCCUACGGGAGGCAGCAGUGGGGAAUAUUGGACAAUGGGGGCAACCCUGAUCCAGCAAUGCCGCGUGUGUGAAGAAGGCCUGCGGGUUGUAAAGCACUUUCAGAGGGGAAGAAAAAAUCGGAGCUAACACCUCCGAGCUUGACGUUACCCUUAGAAGAAGCACCGGCUAACUCCGUGCCAGCAGCCGCGGUAAUACGGAGGGUGCAAGCGUUAAUCGGAAUUACUGGGCGUAAAGCGCACGCAGGUGGCUGAGUCAGUCGAUUGUGAAAGCCCUGGGCUUAACCUGGGAAUUGCAGUCGAUACUACUCAGCUAGAGUAUGGGAGAGGGUAGUGGAAUUCCCGGUGUAGCGGUGAAAUGCGUAGAGAUC
Molecule: ribosomal RNA, 370 nt
Filed under: uncultured bacterium
Lineage: Bacteria
Description: bacterial SSU rRNA
Rfam family: Bacterial small subunit ribosomal RNA
Source: RNAcentral